UAUGGGCACCCUCCAAGAGAGGAAUCGCACUCACUCUCAUCUCUCUGCUGAUACAAUGUGAAUUAUACUCAGCCCAGAUUCCCUGCCACGGCUCAGAGCAUCACUCUACUACUGCAGUAUCAGUAAGGAAGAGGAUGCCACCAUGUGGUUGAUUGGGCUGACCUAGGAGUCGUGUUGUUUGGCAGAUCAGGUUUUAUCACUAGAAAUGUGGAGAGCAAAGGCCCCCACUAGAUACACAAACCAGCCCUCAAACUUGCCUGCCAGCCAGUGCUGUAACAAUAAGAGACCUCAUUGAACUACAGAGCCCGAUCCCAGCUGGUUGUGGCUUGAAGUCAAAGGAAUUAUAUCAAUUCACAGCAGCUGAGGAACUGGCCCUAUAUUUUAUACUACUCAAAAUGUUUCUGUAGCAGAGGAUAUUUUGCAGACCAGAGGGCCAAGAGCAAUAGAGAUGACCCCAGAGUUUUAACACUAAUAUUUAUCUCCAGCAAUAAUUGGUGCUUUUGUGGCCUGUGGAACAAGGCUGUGAGUCCCAGAUCUCUUGUGACCACAAGAACCUGAUUCCUGGCCACUGCUGUCCAGAGAGGAAACCAGUCUCUGUGAGCCACUUCAGGCAAUGCAUGGAGCCUCCUGCGACUCUGCACUGCAGGAAUGAGAGGUGCCUUAUUCCCUUCUGUUCCAGCUGAAAUGGGAGAGUCAGGAAGAGAAAAUUAUUAAAGCAACCUUUGACAGAAGCAGAGCAUUGGCUGCAAUGGUCCUCCUGCGUUAUCUGUGGCAGGAAAAAUGGAUCUAGAGCUGCUUGAGCGAGCUUGCACCAGUGGAUGAACUAGCAAAAGCAGUCUUGAGCUGUGCAGAAACAGUCCCUCCUGGAGAAAAUGGUUAUCUUGAGAUUUCAGUCUUUUGUGUUCUCAAAAGCAAAACCUGAGCAUUAGAAAUCUAGACAGCAAUCAUGGGAGGAUCCAAGGCCUCAUGUAGGAAGGGUUGAAGUUGUGCAGAAGCCUGAAGAGAACAAGGACCAUGACAUGUGGCCAGUGACAUAAAUAUAGAGGUCCCUGAUAAAGGAAGUGGAAGAAGGGUGAGGUGAGGUGAGCUGAACAAGUGGCUCCAGUCGCACAGGGCCGCAACAAAAAUGCUAAGGAAUAAGUAAUUCCAAGACUGGGUGUAUACAGAAUUGAAUAGCACCUCCCACCCCGAAAUCAAAAAGCAUCUUAUUUGUUACUUCUAAAAUAGUCACAGAUUUUAUCUGGGAAGAAUUUCCAUGAACAGCAUCAGUACAUGGGGAAGAUUGCACCCUUGACUGUGAUAUGUUUCCCAGGUGUACACCCAGAUGACUUCACCAGUGGUUUUCCCCUUUGGAUUGCAUUGUAUAAAUGCCAUUAGUGCUCAGAGAGCACUUGUCUAAGCCACCUCCCUCUCUCCCCCCAACCCCAGGAGCUGCUUUUCAACACAACCCUGAUCUGGCAUUGCACAACAGAAAGCGUGUAGAGACAGGCUCAGGCUUUCCUGAUGAGCUCAGAUCCUCUAUAACUGCUUGAGAGAAUUAUUACCAAUAAAUAAACUAGCAAAAGCAUUCUUGUGCCAUGAAGUAUCUUGUGCUGUGUAAAAAAGUCCCUCCUGGAAAAACUGAUUACUUCAGAUUUCAUUUGUUGGGGUUCUUCAAAUAAAAAGUCAAAAGUUUGUGUUGGAAAUAUUGAA
Molecule: long non-coding RNA, 1692 nt
Organism: Alligator mississippiensis (American alligator)
Lineage: Eukaryota; Metazoa; Chordata; Crocodylia; Alligatoridae
Exons: 3
Source: RefSeq, a predicted model, not a curated record